UCCAGACUCCUACGGGAGGCAGCAGUGGGGAAUAUUGCACAAUGGGGGAAACCCUGAUGCAGCGACGCCGCGUGAAGGAAGAAGUAUUUCGGUAUGUAAACUUCUAUCAGCAGGGAAGAAAAUGACGGUACCUGACUAAGAAGCCCCGGCUAACUACGUGCCAGCAGCCGCGGUAAUACGUAGGGGGCAAGCGUUAUCCGGAUUUACUGGGUGUAAAGGGAGCGUAGGCGGUGCAGCAAGUCAGAAGUGAAAGCCCGGGGCUCAACUCCGGGACUGCUUUUGAAACUGUUGAACUAGAUUGCAGGAGAGGUAAGUGGAAUUCCUAGUGUAGCGGUGAACUGCGUAGAUAUUAGGAGGAACACCAGUGGCGAAGGCGGCUUACUGGACUGUAAAUGACGCUGAGGCUCGAAAGCGUGGGGAGCAAACAGGAUUAGAUACCCCAGUAAG
RNAcentral lists this ribosomal RNA (447 nucleotides) under uncultured bacterium. Its description in RNAcentral is "bacterial SSU rRNA". It matches the Rfam family "Bacterial small subunit ribosomal RNA", at positions 330 to 793 of the family's 1533-position model. The record is from RNAcentral.